This 336-nucleotide unclassified non-coding RNA is filed under the name soil metagenome. Its description in RNAcentral is "partial contains 5.8S ribosomal RNA, internal transcribed spacer 2, and large subunit ribosomal RNA". The stretch from base 1 to 120 matches the Rfam family "5.8S ribosomal RNA", at positions 35 to 154 of the family's 154-position model. The record is from RNAcentral.
GAUGAAGAACGUAGCGAAAUGCGAUAAGUAGUGUGAAUUGCAGAAUUCAGUGAAUCAUCGAAUCUUUGAACGCACAUUGCGCCCCUUGGUAUUCCAUGGGGCAUGCCUGUUCGAGCGUCAUUUGUACCUUCAAGCUUUGCUUGGUGUUGGGUGUUUGUCUCGCCUUUGCGUGUAGACUCGCCUUAAAAUAAUUGGCAGCCGGCGUAUUGAUUUCGGAGCGCAGUACAUCUCGCGCUUUGCACUCAUAACGACAGCGUCCAAAAGUACAUUUUACACUCUUGACCUCGGAUCAGGUAGGGAUACCCGCUGAACUUAAGCAUAUCAAUAAGCAGAGGA